RNAcentral lists this ribosomal RNA (447 nucleotides) under uncultured bacterium. RNAcentral describes it as "bacterial SSU rRNA". It matches the Rfam family "Bacterial small subunit ribosomal RNA", at positions 355 to 825 of the family's 1533-position model. The record is from RNAcentral.
UCGGGAAUUUUGGGCAAUGGGCGAAAGCCUGACCCAGCAACGCCGCGUGAAGGAUGAAGUAUUUCGGUAUGUAAACUUCGAAAGAAUAGGAAGAAUAAAUGACGGUACUAUUUAUAAGGUCCGGCUAACUACGUGCCAGCAGCCGCGGUAAUACGUAGGGACCAAGCGUUGUUCGGAUUUACUGGGCGUAAAGCGCGCGUAGGUGGUUAGUUAAGUUGGAUGUGAAAUCCCCGGGCUCAACCUGGGAACUGCAUUCAAAACUGACUGACUAGAGUAUGGUAGAGGGUGGUGGAAUUUCCUGUGUAGCGGUGAAAUGCGUAGAUAUAGGAAGGAACACCAGUGGCGAAGGCGACCACCUGGACUGAUACUGACACUGAGGUGCGAAAGCGUGGGGAGCAAACAGGAUUAGAUACCCAUGUAGUCCCUGAGCGGGCUGGCAAGGCGCAU